RNAcentral lists this ribosomal RNA (500 nucleotides) under uncultured bacterium. RNAcentral describes it as "bacterial SSU rRNA". It matches the Rfam family "Bacterial small subunit ribosomal RNA", at positions 28 to 525 of the family's 1533-position model. The record is from RNAcentral.
GAUGAACGCUAGCGGCAGGCCUAAUACAUGCAAGUCGAGGGGCAGCGCGGUAGCAAUACUGGCGGCGACCGGCGCACGGGUGCGUAACACGUAUGCAACCUACCUUCAACUGGAGGAUAGCCCGGGGAAACUCGGAUUAAUACUCCAUAACACAGGGAUCCCGCAUGGGAAUAUUGUUAAAGCUACGGCGGUUGAAGAUGGGCAUGCGUUCGAUUAGCUAGUUGGUGUAGGUAACGGCUCACCAAGGCUACGAUCGAUAGGGGGUCUGAGAGGAUGAUCCCCCACACUGGUACUGAGACACGGACCAGACUCCUACGGGAGCAGCAGUAAGGAAUAUCGGUCAAUGGAGGCAACUCUGAACCAGCCAUGCCGCGUGCAGGAUGACGGCCCUAUGGGUUGUAAACUGCUUUUAUACAAGAGAAAACCCUGGUACGUGUACCAGGUUGAUAGUAUUGUAAGAAUAAGCAUCGGCUAACUUCGUGCCAGCAGCCGCGGUAAUC